Molecule: transfer RNA, 72 nt
Filed under: Ictidomys tridecemlineatus (thirteen-lined ground squirrel)
Lineage: Eukaryota; Metazoa; Chordata; Mammalia; Rodentia; Sciuridae
Description: Spermophilus tridecemlineatus (thirteen-lined ground squirrel) tRNA
Rfam family: tRNA
About the family: Transfer RNA (tRNA) molecules are approximately 80 nucleotides in length. Their secondary structure includes four short double-helical elements and three loops (D, anti-codon, and T loops). Further hydrogen bonds mediate the characteristic L-shaped molecular structure. tRNAs have two regions of fundamental functional importance: the anti-codon, which is responsible for specific mRNA codon recognition, and the 3' end, to which the tRNAs corresponding amino acid is attached (by aminoacyl-tRNA synthetases). tRNAs cope with the degeneracy of the genetic code in two manners: having more than one tRNA (with a specific anti-codon) for a particular amino acid; and 'wobble' base-pairing, i.e. permitting non-standard base-pairing at the 3rd anti-codon position.
Source: Rfam by way of RNAcentral
UGGGUUGUGACUCAACAGUAGAGCGCUCGCUUAGUAUGUGAGAGGACCUGGGUUCAAUCCUCAGCAUCACAU